This 114-nucleotide long non-coding RNA is filed under the name Ictidomys tridecemlineatus (thirteen-lined ground squirrel). RNAcentral describes it as "lncRNA (ENSSTOG00000030044.1)". The record is from RNAcentral. Lineage: Eukaryota; Metazoa; Chordata; Mammalia; Rodentia; Sciuridae.
GAUGCUGUGUGCCAGUGCCCAGGGCAAGGAGCUUAAGGGGUUGUAGUCCCCACUUUACAGAUGAGGCAGUUAAGCCCAGAUGCAGCAGAUAUUGCCGGGCACGGAGCAGUGCCU